Thalassophryne amazonica is the source of this 1547-nucleotide long non-coding RNA. RefSeq lists it as uncharacterized. The record is from RefSeq and is a predicted model, not a curated record. NCBI's taxonomy places the organism in Eukaryota, Metazoa, Chordata, Actinopteri, Batrachoidiformes, Batrachoididae. The transcript has 2 exons.
GUGCAGUUUUCUGAGCUUGCUCAUUGAAGUUCUGUUAGUCUCGUCAAGAAACAGGUGAAAUAUGCCGGAAAGCUGCACAUGUUGGCAAAGCCACAACAGAGGAACAAGGGAGACAACAUUUCCUUCCAUAAAUGGUGCACUGUAGAGCCAAGGAACACCUGCAACUCAUCUUGUCCUUGCACCUGAAGCUUAUGAGCGGCUCAUCAGGAGCAGGCUACUUAAACCCCGUUUUUAAGCUCAGUCUUUGCCAGAUUCUUUGUUUUCCCUGCCAAGAAGCCAGUUUGUAUUUCCUGAGGCCAGAUUCUUCCAGGAGCUUCCCAGAGCUUCACUGAGAUUCCAUGACCUUGAGCUCAAUUGUCCUGCCACGUCUAUGUGCGCUGACGUCGGAUCUUUCCGCAACUCAUUUCAAGGCAACCUGGCCAACUGUAAUUCCUGUAUUAGAGCUCAUUGUGUUAUUUGGUGUUUCCAGACACUCUCCUGCGCAGCUUCCAUGUCACACAUGCUCCUGGCUCCAUGACUAUCUGCACCAUGGCUCUCAGCUACAGAGCAUAUAGGUCUGCCAUGCUUCAGUUAAGCUCCUUCAUGUUCUGUGAGAUUCCGCCUUCACGCAGCUCCUGUUUCCAAGAACUAUUUGCAAGAACUGUCUCCAAGAACUGUUCCAAGAACUAGUACCAAUAACUGUUUUCCUAGAACUGUGUGAACUCUGACAUUGAACCAAGAACUUUCCAAGUCAUUUCUAAAGUCCUGCUUAAUUGGAACUGCGUCACAAGACGCACCUGACCUCUGAAGUGAACUCAUCAUGAACUGUGAACGAUUCCUGAACAGCAAACCUUAUUUCUUAGCUUGUGAACAUUAUUUCCAGAACUGUGAACCUUCCUGUUUUGAGCCUUCUGUGAAUAGUCUGUUGUUGGGGGCUUCAGUGUUGCGAGUGCAGUCCCUCACCUCUCCUCUCCUGCGAUAUCCUAGUUCCUGUUUUUGGCUCUGUGCGUCCUAACUGGCCCCGGCUCCAGAACCUUACACUACAGGAUUCCUACUCGUUCUCAGACUCCCAAGUCUGUCUGUGUGCACUGCAGCGUCCAGAUGUUCCACCGCUACAAGCGGGCCCUGUCUUGUCUCAGCAGGCUGUCUAACCAGCGCAGAAUUGUUCACUUGUUUAUUUCAACUAAAUCUCCUUUUGUUCACAACCAGUUCUGUUCCUUGCUCCCAGCGUUUAAGUCCAUCACCUGUAACCGUCUGGUCCUGUCCAUACCCCUAAUCAUAACAAAACUUCCUAAAAGAAUUUAAAUUUAAGUAAGGUGAAGCCAGUGGAACUGAUUAAAAGUUUUGUAGUUUGAAAAAAAAAAAAUGCUGCCAAUAAUGUUGCACAGAUGAUACUUUUAUCAUUUUGGCUGAUACUACGCUUAUUGCUUUGCGAAGUGUGGCCUUUACUGCCUGUUAGUGGGCAAAGCAAAAAUGCAAUUCCUACGUUACUAUUUGGCAUUUCCAAAGCCCGAAAACGCAGGACAAUCACCAUCUUGGAUUCGCGUCUGCCAGAGCCACAAUAUUAA